AAUAAAGUUUGAGAACCCCUGAGCUAGGUGGGGUUUACUGACUUUCUGUCAGUCAAGUCCUCCUAUUGCUACUCUGACUGCCAAAUUCCCCCCAUUCAAUGGCUCGUUCGCUGUUAUGAGGACUUACAAAGGUCCAUCAGCAUGUCUUGUCCAUCACUCUCACAAGACAAAUAGUCUGAGCCAUCAAUCCAUUUCACAGACUCAUCCUUUUUCUUGCUAUAGAGAUUCCCCCUACACCCUCAAAGACCUACUCUGACAUGAUUUUCCUUUUUUUGUAUGAUUGAUAGCAAGGGGCAUUCUGCCUCCAAAACAGACGAUGCUUUGAAGCCUUCCAGAAGAUCUAGUGUGGACGAGAAGGGUUAUCUAAAAUCACCACAGCUACAGAAGUCGAAGGAGACGCUUCACCAAAAGUAUCAUUCUGCCGAGAAUAAGGAAUUGGCCGUGGCUUCUCAGGACCAAGUCUCUCCUCAGGAAUUUCAGCAACUUUUUAGAUACGCGACGGAACUGGAGAAGCGACUAAACGAGGUUAAUGCAAAGCUGAGCAGAGUUCUGAAAGGCGUACCUGAUCUGAAAGGGUCUCCAGACAAGAAACAGAGAUAGUGAGAUAUAAGGGAUGGGCCCAUUUGUAAUCCCAGCUGCAGAGAGACAAAUUGCACAAAACAAAUCCUAUAUUCCAAAGCUUUCCAAGCAUGCUGGCAACUGGCUCUUCACAACUAGCUCUGAAAGAACAGACACUAGGGAAGAUGGAAGGCCAUUCAACUACACUGCUAAACUCUCAAAUGUCACGGAAAAAUAAAAAUCAGCUGAUCUGUAUGCCUGCUAAACGA
RNAcentral lists this long non-coding RNA (827 nucleotides) under Gopherus agassizii (Agassiz's desert tortoise). RNAcentral describes it as "lncRNA (ENSGAGG00000011643.1)". The record is from RNAcentral. Lineage: Eukaryota; Metazoa; Chordata; Testudines; Testudinidae.